GCAUACGUUACAUACCCAGAUAUACGUUACAAACCUACCACAAUAUAAGUCGCCUCACCAUGCUUUGAUCUUCUUCACAUCUCAAUUCUCAUAAAAACCCUUGUGAUCAAAGAGAGAGUGAGAAAUAUAGAAAUCUGUAGGUAACUCCAAUGGAGGAGAAUAGAGAAAUUCUCAUAUUCUCAAACAAGAAGAGAAUCAAACAGCAGCAUGAACAGAAAAGUUUGUGCUCACAACGAAUCAGCGAAUUACCAGAUUUCCACAGUAUGACUCACCUUCAAAUUCCUAGAACAUUCAUGAAUGCAGCCAGAUGAGGUGGGAGUGUGUAACCAAUGCUUUGCGUUGUUUAAGAUCUGUCCUUAAUGACAUCCAAGAAACAAAAAGGAAAAUGAUUAGAUGUAAUUAAGGAAAUAACAUGAAAGCAUUGGUUCACUUUGGCCUGCACAUGCAAUCAAAGAGCUUGAACUCUGCUUCUCAAAAGGAAAACUGUUCAGCUUCUUUGAUCAGAAACGUUGGUGGUGAUGAUUGCAUGUUCAUAUAUCCCAAGAAGGUUGUCAGGUACAACGAAAACUACUGACCAACUUGCCGAUAUCUUCCAGUAGGCCAUAUGAAGCGGGUGAACAAUAUCACUAUCAGAUAAUGUGUACAGUACACUUAAUUACUAUGGAUUAUACUAGCUUCAAACCAUUGAUUGUACAUGUUAGGUGCCACUUAGAAGUCAGAUCAGUGAUUUACCAGAUGUCUGCUAUUAUUUUUCACUGCAAUGUGUAGUUUUACCAUCUCUUUAUUUAUUAUUAUGAAAUGAACAAAACAUUGUAUUUAGAAAGGAAGAUCAUGAAUGUCAAAGCCUGAAUUUUAUGGAAUUGAUAUUGUAUGUGGAAAGUUGAAAAAAUAGAUCUGCUUAAUCGCAACAGCAUUGAUCUUACUUGCAACAUAUUUUGGUAAGUUUGUUACAAGAUUGAUUUAGUAUAGAGUUGAAUGGGUAUAUUUUUACUAAAUUCUAAUCUUAAUUUAACUACUAAUUGGUAGUUUCUUUUUAAACCCUAUCGUACUUAAAUUACUUUGGUUUCCUAUUGUUGUGAGGCUAAUUGGACAUUUGAAGUCACUAAAUGAUGAAACUUUUGGCUGAGUCAAAUAAUUUUGAUACUAGUCACUCAGAUUGUAACCUUCUAUAUCAAAGCAUUUUUAAAUUCCAUCCUCAUUUCAUUCUGAUAGUAAAUAAAUGGGAUUUUAGAGCUUCGGACAACACUUUAUUUCAAUGAAAAAUAGAAGUAGGUUUGGAGCUAGAAGGCUUUAAUUAUCAAAAUCUUGUAUGAUAUUUCAGGGACAAAUAUAGAACCUAAAGCUUUGGAAAAUGCUUCAUUUCCAUAUCAUAACAUUUUUCAUUCCAGUAAUGAGUCAAGUUUAUUCAUUAUUUGUAGUGCUGGUUUACCUCCAAAAAAAAAAAAAAAAUGCGAUUUGUAGUGAAGCAUUAGAAAGAAGAUAAAAACAACAAUUAUUUCCUGUCAUUUCUAAAAGGACCCAAGUGAAGGUUUUUAAAGUAGCUUGUGUAGAAAGGAGAAGGGUGCUAGAGAGGUUCUAGAAGUACUUUUGUGAUACAAGGUUCACUUGGUCCAAAUAUUUCACAUAAUGGUCACAUUGGUAGUGUAGUUUACACAUCUUGUGGUACACUAGUUGAACCUAGCCAUUCGAUGUGGUUAUGGUGGUUAACCUGCAACUUUACAUAGCAUGUUGGCAGUUUUGAGCUUAAUCUUUCCAAGUUUCACAAAAUUAAUCAACUUUUCUUCUUCAAGUUUUUGAAUUUUCUACAAUGACAUUUCAUAAUGGUUUGGAUAUAGUUUUGGUAAAAUGGCUGCUGGUGCCAAAGUUUCACAAAAGUCAGAUUUUUUUCUCCCAAUUUUUCGUUUGUUCAAUAAUGCUGGCUAUUUUUUAUGCCAUAAUGGUUUUAAUAUAGUUUGGCAAAAUGGCUGCUGGUGCCAGCAAUUGCUUGACACCAGGAGAUUGUCUUGGUGAAUAAACACGUGCAGGUUUAGGAAACGUCUUUGUUAAAUUGGUGAACAAUUUUGUACAUGUGUAUUCAGGAGAUAAUGUUCUUUUUUGCUUUGACGUCAAAUGGAAGUUUUAAUUUAUUUGAUUAGUUAAUGAAAAUCUCUCUCUCUCAUUAUUUGAAUUUCUGGAAUGCAAUGAUUGGCACUGUCAAUAGAAAUCUUAUUCUUGGCAAAAAAGAAGAAGGAAUCUUAUGGUACUUGUAUUAUGUAUUAUUUUGAACACCUAGUGUUUAUUUAUAGUUUCAUGCAUUUCUAUAAAGCGUGAAGUGCACAUUAAUUGAAACUAUGCUGUGUAAUCUAGUAAUCUACAAUCAUCUUCCUAGUGAAAAUUGUGCCUUAACUUGAAGAACUGUGUAUUAUUGCAUGCACCGAAAGCAGAAUAAAGAUAUUGAUUAUAUGGAACCUUGGUUUAUUUUAUCAGAUUCAAGUAUAUUUUUUCUUUUUUAUGAAGAACAUAUUUGACUUGGUACAACAGUUAUGGAUAGUUCUCUGUAAUGAUGUUGCCUUUUGCAUUAUUGGGACUGAUCUGGACUAUAAUUAUAAGUUUAUAACCCAUCAUUACAAAUGACAUAUAAUCUUCCUAUUUUAGCACACUAUAACAACUGAAACUCACGCUGGCCUCUAUGUUUCUUUAAUCUUUCUGGUGUGCAUAAUGAUGCUGACAGUAGAUCAGGGGGUAAUUGAUGCAGAAAGAUCAGUAAGACAAGACCAUAUUGUUGUUCUGACAAAACAUGGUAAAAUCAGUUUCAAAGAGAUUGUGUUUGCCUGAACAUGUGAUAUGCAUGGCUCUGGGAAUAUGAUCCAUCACUCUUGCCACAUGGAACACUUUUCCCCCAUGUUUGCAUGGCACAUAGUGUCUCUUCAGCCAAGUAGUGCUUGCAGAAAAAAGAAACGAUAUCUCCAAAUAUCCUGCUGGAACAUUAUGUACCUGCAUACCUGGCUGGAACAUCAUGUACCUGCAUACGAAGUCCCAAAGAAGAUGCCCAGCAAUUUUGUUAUAAGCUUAGCCAUGAGGAACUAUCCUCUGUAAUGAAGUAUGGCUUCUAUUUAAGUCUUCUAGACAUUAUAAUUGACUAACAAUCCUCUAGUCAUCUUGCUAGUAUUUUUCUUUGGGUCAUUCAUAGCCAUACAGGAAGCAUGAUGCAGUGGUUAAAGUUUCUGAAGAGUGAGUGGUAUUUAGAGUUCAUACUUAUUCUGCUACAUUGUAUGACCCAAGAGGAUGAGUUGGAAUCAGUGAUUUACACGCACACAUACACACUUUUUUGAACUAAAAUUGGGACUUAAAUUCACGAUAUUUGUGCAUAAGUGGUGUGUGUAUGGUAUGUGUAAGAGGGUGUGUGUA
Quercus robur (English oak) is the source of this 3387-nucleotide long non-coding RNA. RefSeq lists it as uncharacterized. The record is from RefSeq and is a predicted model, not a curated record. NCBI's taxonomy places the organism in Eukaryota, Viridiplantae, Streptophyta, Magnoliopsida, Fagales, Fagaceae. The transcript has 4 exons.